This is a long non-coding RNA of Lonchura striata (white-rumped munia), 1779 nucleotides long. The record is from Ensembl. NCBI's taxonomy places the organism in Eukaryota, Metazoa, Chordata, Aves, Passeriformes, Estrildidae.
UUGGGGUGCUCAGGUGUUUUUUGGGGUGCUUUUCCAGGGAGGAUUAUUUCCGGAUGAAGCUCCAGUGGCGCUCGCUGAGCCCGGGGCAGCUGCGCAGGAACAAAAUCCUCAGCGGCUACCGGGAGCGCAUGGGUGAGAGCCAAAAUCCCCCCAAAUCGCCCAAAAAUCACCCCAAAAAUAUCCCAAAAUCACCCCAAAAUCACUGCAAAGAUCACCCCAAAAUCACCCCAAAAUCACCCCAAAAAUAUACCAAAAAUAUCCCAAAAAUCACCCCAAAAUCACUGCAAAGAUCACCCCAAAAUCACCCCAAAAUCUCCCCAAAAUCACCCCAAAAUCACCCCAAAAUCACCCCAAAAAUAUCCCAAAAAUAUACCAAAAAUCACCCCCUAAUCACCCCAAAAUCACUGCAAAGAUCACCCCAAAAUCUCCCCAAAAUCACCCCAAAAUCACCCCCAAAUCACCCCAAUAUCACUGCAAAGAUCACCCCAAAAUCACCCCAAAAUCACCCCAAAAAUAUCCCAAAAAUCACUGCAAAAUCACCCCAAAAUCACUGCAAAGAUCACCCCAAAAUCACCCCAUAAUCACCCCAAAAAUAUCCCAAAAUCACUGCAAAAUCACCCCAAAAUCCCCCCAAAUCACCCCAAAAUCUCCCCAAAAAUAUCCCAAAAAUCACCCCAAAAUCACUGCAAAGAUCACCACAAAAAUAUCCCAAAAUCACCCUAAAAAUAUCCCAAAAAUCACUGCAAAGAUCACCCCAAAAUCACCCAAAAAUCACCCCAAAAUCACCCAAAAAUCACCCCAAAAUCACCCCAAAAUCACUGCAAAAUCACCCCAAAAUCACUGUAAAGAUCACCCCAAAAUCACCCAAAAAUCACCCCAAAAAACACCCCAAAAUCACCCCAAAAUUACCCCAAAGACACGCCAAAAAUAUCCCAAAAAUCACUGCAAAAAUCACCCAAAAAUGACCCCAAAAUCUCCCAAAAAUCACCCCAAACAUUACCCCAAAAUCACCCAAAAAUCAGCCAAAAAAUAUCCCAAAAAUCACCCCAAAAUCUCCCAAAAUCACUCCAAAAACCACCCCAAAAUCACCCAAAAAUUACCCAAAAAAAUCUCCCCAAAAAUUAUCCCAAAAUCAUCCCAAAAUCACCCCAAAAAUAUCCCAAAAUCACCGCAAAGAUCACCCCAAAAAUCACCCCAAAAUCACCCAAAAAUACCACCCCAAAAUCUCCCAAAAUCACCCCAAAAAUCUCCCCAAGAUCACCCAAAAAAUAUCCCAAAAAUCACCCCAAAAAUACCCCAAAAGUCACCCCAAAAUCAUCCCCAAAUCACCCCAAAAUCAUCCAAAAAUCACCCCAAAAUCACCCAAAAAUCACCCCAAAAAUUUUCCCAAACUGACCCAAAAUUACCCAAAACUGACCCGAAAUGUCCUCAAAAACCCAAAUCUCCCCCAAAAAGUCCCAAAUUGUCCUCAAAUAACCAAAAAUCUCCCCAAAAUGUCCCCAAAUCUCCCCCAAAUCCCCCCAAAAAAAUCCCAAAUGUCCCCAAAAAAAUCCCAAAUGUCCCCAAAAAAUCCCAAAAUGUCUCCAAAAGUCACCAGAAUGUCCCCAAAAAAUCCCAAAUCUCCCCCAAAAAAUCCCAAAUCUCCCCCAAAAUGUCCCCAAAAAAAUCCCAAAAUGUCCCAAAAUUUUCCCCAAAAGUCCCAAACAUCCCCAAAAUGUCCCCAAAAACUGAAAUCUCCCCCAAAUUCCCCCCAAAAAUCCCAAAUGUCCCUAAAAAAUC